AAUGCCCGCAAGGGUGACCCAGCAACGCCGCGUGGAGGAUGAAGGCCGUAAGGUUGUAAACUCCUGUUAGAGGAGAAGAAUAGUACCGAUUGGAUCGGUAUUUGACUGUACCCUCAGAGAAAGCCCCGGCUAACUACGUGCCAGCAGCCGCGGUAAUACGUAGGGGGCAAGCGUUGUCCGGAUUUACUGGGUGUAAAGGGCGCGCAGGCGGNAUAGCAAGUCAGAGGUGAAAUCCUACAGCUUAACUGUAGAACUGCCUUUGAUACUGUUAUUCUUGAGUUCGGGAGAGAGAGACGGAAUUUCAGGUGUAGUGGUGAAAUACGUAGAUAUCUGGAAGAACACCAGUUGCGAAGGCGGCCACCUGGACAGGCAUUGACGCUGAGGUGCGAAAGUGUGGGGAGCAAA
RNAcentral lists this ribosomal RNA (405 nucleotides) under uncultured bacterium. Its description in RNAcentral is "bacterial SSU rRNA". It matches the Rfam family "Bacterial small subunit ribosomal RNA", at positions 370 to 772 of the family's 1533-position model. The record is from RNAcentral.